Molecule: RNA transcript, 1846 nt
Organism: Rosa chinensis
Lineage: Eukaryota; Viridiplantae; Streptophyta; Magnoliopsida; Rosales; Rosaceae
Gene name: probable adenylate kinase 6, chloroplastic
Exons: 5
Source: RefSeq, a predicted model, not a curated record
CUUUGAGGAAAAGCCAACAGCCCAAACGCAGCAGAAGUCGUUCUUAUUAUUCCCUCUGUUUCUGCUUUCUCUAGCAGCACUGCAAAAUAAUUGACUUCUGCUUCUCUCCUCCUCCUCUCUCCUCCUCCCAUGGCGGUUCUGAGCCGCGUUCUGAGACUAAGAGUGGCGGGAGUAGACCGCUUCGCAGUCCGGAGCUUCCGGUCUUCGUCUUCGUCGUGGCGAAAUUCCGAAAUUGACCCCAAGGCGGCGGCGGCGUCGCAGCAGCUCGGGGAAAAGGCGCUUCCUUUACAGCGAGACGUCAAGGACAGAAACGUCCAGUGGGUUUUCCUCGGCUGCCCGGGCGUCGGCAAAGGCACCUACGCGUCUAAACUCUCGACUCUGCUCGGCGUGCCUCAUAUUGCGACCGGCGAUCUCGUCCGCGACGAGCUUUCCUCUUCCGGUCCGCUAGCUAAGCAGCUUGAGGAGGUUGUAAAUCAAGGCAAAUUGGUUUCGGAUGAGAUUAUAAUAAACUUGCUGUCCAAGCGUCUUGAAGCUAGCUCAGCUAAGGGUGAAACUGGCUUUAUUCUUGAUGGUUUCCCUCGCACAAUUCGACAGGCGGAAAUUUUAGAGGGAGUUACUGAAAUUGACUUGGUAAUCAACCUAAAGCUUCGGGAAGAGGCUUUGCUUGCCAAGUGCCUUGGAAGAAGGAUUUGCAGUGAGUGUGGAGGAAAUUACAAUGUUGCCAGCAUUGAUAUUAAAGCUGAGGAAGGGGACCCUGGUAUGUACAUGGCUCCACUUCUUCCACCUCCACUUUGUACAUCAAAGCUUAUCUCGCGAUCCGAUGACACUGAAGAAGUUGUUAAGAGACGACUACGUAUAUAUAAUGAAAUGAGUCAACCUGUGGAGGAGUUCUAUCGCAGUCGGGGAAAAUUGUUAGAGUUUGAUCUUCCUGGAGGGAUUCCAGAAUCCUGGCCAAAGCUGCUUCGAGCUUUAAAUCUGGAAGACCAUGAUGACAAAGAGUCUGCCGCAGCAUGAAUUGUAUAUUGUGUACUAAUAUACAUUAGACGAGUUGGCUUCCAUUAGGUGAAGCUAGAUCAUUCAUUCUUUGCAUGUCAGGGAAGCUGGUGCAUUUAUUUUAAAAGUUGAAAGGAAAAAUUUCUAUAUGCAAUAAAAGCACGAAGAGGCCCAUUUCCUUUCGAGUUAUGUAAGUGGCCAUGGGUCCUGUGUGGGGAGGUCCGCAACCCUUAAAAGAGCCAACGCUCAAAUUUGAGUAUCUGGUGUACUGGUGUAACUCGGGAGAGAACAGUCAUACUCGGUUCUAUUGCCAUCCGAGCAACAAAAGCACUAAAAUAAAACAAAAUUGUCUUUGCCAUUGAUGCAGAAUAACAACUAAAAUGGUUUAGUUGGGUGAGGGUACAACAUUGAUCAAACUCUGAUGGGCUGGUUGGUAUCGUUUUCUUUCUGGGUUUGUUCCAAUUUUUCCAGGAAACCACUCAAUAAGAUAACCUACAUCUGUAUGCUACUCUCUAUUUUUACUGAUAACCUGAAGUUAUGACUUACAAGUUACAACCUCUCUAACAAAUGUAACUUGCAGGAAACCGAAAUCUUGAACCGAAUCCAAAAACUCAUGAGCAAGUGAGCAACCAUAUCAGUUCUUUGUAGCUUCUUUCUAGAUAUGCUGUAUGUGAAUAUGGUAAAGUUAGGCGAGAGCUUCCAAGAUAUCCGGGUUAUGCUGCUUGAUCGGUGUCAAUUCAUAGCUCUGAGUCUCCUUCAAUAACAUCCACUCAAGUUGUAAGUCCAUAUUUACAUUUUGAACUGCUAAUGCACCUUUUCUAUGAUCAAAUAAUACUCCACUUUCCAGAACUAA